AACCAAUAUUUUUGGUGACUCAUAAUAACUUUACGGAUCACAUUAUGUGACAUAUCAUUCAAGUUUCUGACCUAUCAGCUUUAGACGGUAGGGUAUUGGCCUACCGUGGCUAUGACGGGUAACGGGGAAUUAGGGUUCGAUUCCGGAGAGGGAGCCUGAGAAACGGCUACCACAUCUAAGGAAGGCAGCAGGCGCGCAAAUUACCCAAUCCUAAUACAGGGAGGUAGUGACAAGAAAUAACAAUACAGAACCUUACGGUUUUGUAAUUGGAAUGAGUUAAGUAUAAACCCCUUAACAAGUAUCAAUUGGAGGGCAAGUCUGGUGCCAGCAGCCGCGGUAAUUCCAGCUCCAAUAGCGUAUAUUAAAGUUGUUGCAGUUAAAAAGCUCGUAGUUAAUCUUCUGUUAAUUUUUAUAUAUAAUAUUUCGAUAUUUAUAUAAUAUUAACAUAAUUCAUAUUACUUUUUAGUAUAUGAAACUUUACUUUGAGAAAAUUAGAGUGCUUAAAGCAGGCUAUUGCCUUGAAUACUCCAGCAUGGAAUAAUAUUAAGGAUUUUUAUUCUUCUUAUUGGUUCUAGAAUAAAAAUGAUGAUUAAUAGGAACAGUUGGGGGCAUUUGUAUUUAACAGUCAGAGGUGAAAUUCUUAGAUUUGUUAAAGACAAACUACUGCGAAAGCAUUUGCCAAGGAUGUUUUCAUUAAUCAAGAACGAAAGUUAGGGGAUCGAAGACGAUC
Molecule: ribosomal RNA, 730 nt
Filed under: Cryptosporidium xiaoi
Lineage: Eukaryota; Apicomplexa; Conoidasida; Eucoccidiorida; Cryptosporidiidae
Description: SSU rRNA
Rfam family: Eukaryotic small subunit ribosomal RNA
Source: RNAcentral